RNAcentral lists this ribosomal RNA (654 nucleotides) under uncultured Dehalococcoides sp. RNAcentral describes it as "bacterial SSU rRNA". It matches the Rfam family "Bacterial small subunit ribosomal RNA", at positions 91 to 762 of the family's 1533-position model. Lineage: Bacteria; Bacillati; Chloroflexota; Dehalococcoidia; Dehalococcoidales; Dehalococcoidaceae. The record is from RNAcentral.
GAUAGUGGCGAACGGGUGAGUAACGCGUAAGUAACCUACCUCUAAGUGGGGGAUAGCUUCGGGAAACUGAAGGUAAUACCGCAUGUGGUGGGCCGACAUAUGUUGGUUCACUAAAGCCGUAAGGCGCUUGGUGAGGGGCUUGCGUCCGAUUAGCUAGUUGGUGGGGUAAUGGCCUACCAAGGCUUCGAUCGGUAGCUGGUCUGAGAGGAUGAUCAGCCACACUGGGACUGAGACACGGCCCAGACUCCUACGGGAGGCAGCAGCAAGGAAUCUUGGGCAAUGGGCGAAAGCCUGACCCAGCAACGCCGCGUGAGGGAUGAAGGCUUUCGGGUUGUAAACCUCUUUUCAUAGGGAAGAAUAAUGACGGUACCUGUGGAAUAAGCUUCGGCUAACUACGUGCCAGCAGCCGCGGUAAUACGUAGGAAGCAAGCGUUAUCCGGAUUUAUUGGGCGUAAAGUGAGCGUAGGUGGUCUUUCAAGUUGGAUGUGAAAUUUCCCGGCUUAACCGGGACGAGUCAUUCAAUACUGUUGGACUAGAGUACAGCAGGAGAAAACGGAAUUCCCGGUGUAGUGGUAAAAUGCGUAGAUAUCGGGAGGAACACCAGAGGCGAAGGCGGUUUUCUAGGUUGUCACUGACACUGAGGCUCGAAAGCGU